UACGAAGGGGGCGAGCGUUGUUCGGAAUUACUGGGCGUAAAGGGCGCGUAGGCGGCGACCCAAGUCAGAUGUGAAAGUCCUGGGCUUAACCUGGGGACUGCAUUUGAUACUGGGUUGCUUGAAUGCAGGAGAGGAUAGCGGAAUUCCCAGUGUAGAGGUGAAAUUCGUAGAUAUUGGGAAGAACACCGGUGGCGAAGGCGGCUAUCUGGACUGUGAUUGACGCUGAGGCGCGAAAGCGUGGGGAGCAAACAGG
This 253-nucleotide ribosomal RNA is filed under the name uncultured bacterium. RNAcentral's name for it is "partial 16S ribosomal RNA". It matches the Rfam family "Bacterial small subunit ribosomal RNA", at positions 524 to 776 of the family's 1533-position model. The record is from RNAcentral.